UACAUAUAUAAAUUAUGAUUAUAUAGAUCAUGGUUGUGCCUUUUCCACCUGCUUACCAUUUCAUUUGUAUUCAUGUUGACACAUAUUUUCUGGUGGAUGUUUAAUUUUCUUGUAUAGGUUUCAAAAUCUGAUGUUAAGGCUGGUAUGAAAGUUCUAAACUUUGCAAUAUAUAUAUAUAUAUAUAUAUGAAGACCUUACUGAGAUAGAGAAGCACAAGCAAGAAAGAACAAAAGAGAGCAAUUGCAGAACAGAAGUCAUCCAAGUGAAAAUCGUAGAUCUGAAAGUGGUACAGCUGGUAUAGAAGAUUUAAGAGCCAGUGCCAUGGAAAUAGAUGAUCCUGCUGUCCAAUCCGCUUCUGCUAUAUCUUCAGAAAGAAUUAAAGCAUUUAAAUAUUUAUUUGGUGAGCAUAUGCGUUUGAAUCGCUUGGAAUGGAUUUCUAUUGAGGAUAUAGAGAAGGUUGUCAACUCUAGAGCCUAUGUUUGCUUCUCAAGAGCAGAGAUAACAAUCCUAUUAGAGGUAAAGUAGUGUUGCUUAUUUUAUAAAUGCAAUAAAUGAAUUUUAGUGGCUCUUCUAGUCUUGAAGUUUUCAGAUAAAAUAAUCGUGUUUCUUUUGUUUUCCUGCUUAUAUUCUUGAGUUUGGGUAUGCUGCUAGGUAGUACUUUUGUAUUUUAUUGGUAACUUAACUGGAAUUUUUCUCUUUUCAGUUGCUGCAAAGUGAUAACAUAGUUUCGGUAAAUAAUGAAAAGGAUGCAUAUGAUUAUCUGUAUGAAUGCCCAUCUCCAAUGGCUAAAUCUGGGAGAUGUAUUUUAAGUUGUAUAUACUUUUUAUUGUCAUCCAGACAUGGCUUAGAUGCAUUCGUUGCUAAACUGAACUCUUUGAGCAAAACUGUUGCAUACUACAUUUUUGCA
Long non-coding RNA from Ziziphus jujuba (common jujube), 907 nucleotides. RefSeq lists it as uncharacterized. The record is from RefSeq and is a predicted model, not a curated record. NCBI's taxonomy places the organism in Eukaryota, Viridiplantae, Streptophyta, Magnoliopsida, Rosales, Rhamnaceae. The transcript is spliced from 3 exons.